RNAcentral lists this ribosomal RNA (274 nucleotides) under uncultured bacterium. RNAcentral describes it as "partial 16S ribosomal RNA". It matches the Rfam family "Bacterial small subunit ribosomal RNA", at positions 523 to 796 of the family's 1533-position model. The record is from RNAcentral.
AUACGAAGGGGGCAAGCGUUGUUCGGAAUAACUGGGCGUAAAGCGCACGUAGGCGGAAUGUUAAGUUAGAGGUGAAAUCCCAGGGCUCAACCCUGGAACGGCCUUUAAUACUGGCAAUCUAGAGACCGAGAGAGGUGAGUGGAAUUCCGAGUGUAGAGGUGAAAUUCGUAGAUAUUCGUAGGAACACCAGUGGCGAAGGCGGCUCACUGGCUCGGUUCUGACGCUGAGGUGCGAAAGCGUGGGGAGCAAACAGGAUUAGAAACCCCAGUAGUCC